GAUGAACGCUGACAGAAUGCUUAACACAUGCAAGUCAACUUGAAUUUGGGUUUUUAACUUAGGUUUGGGUGGCGGACGGGUGAGUAACGCGUAAGGAACUUGCCUCACAGCUAGUGACAACAUUUGGAAACGAAUGCUAAUACCUAAUAUUAUAAUACUAGGUCAUCCUAUAAUUAUGAAAGCUAUAAGCGCUGUGAGAUAGCUUUGCGUCCCAUUAGCUAGUUGGAGAGGUAACGGCUCACCAAGGCUAUGAUGGGUAGCCGGUCUGAGAGGGUGAUCGGCAAAAAGGGACUGGGGAAACGGCCAGACUCCUUCGGGGAGGAAGAAGUGGGGAUUAUUGACCAAGGGACCGAGCGUGUGGUAGAGAAGCCGUGUGCGGGAGAAGGGGUUUUUGGGUGUAAACCGCUUUCUCCUUUGACGAGGAGUGAAUGACGGUAAUGAGAAAAGAAGCACCGGCUAACUACGUG
This 467-nucleotide ribosomal RNA is filed under the name uncultured bacterium. RNAcentral's name for it is "partial 16S ribosomal RNA". It matches the Rfam family "Bacterial small subunit ribosomal RNA", at positions 28 to 507 of the family's 1533-position model. The record is from RNAcentral.